Molecule: ribosomal RNA, 237 nt
Filed under: uncultured Candidatus Saccharibacteria bacterium
Lineage: Bacteria; Candidatus Saccharimonadota
Description: partial 16S ribosomal RNA
Rfam family: Bacterial small subunit ribosomal RNA
Source: RNAcentral
UAAGCGUGUGAUGAAAUCGUGAGGCUCAACCUCACGGCUAUUAUGCGAACUGUAGAGCUAGAGCAUAUGAGGGUACCUGGAAUUCCUAGUGUAGGAGUGAAAUCCGUAGAUAUUAGGAGGAACACCAAUGGCGUAGGCAGGGUACUGGCAUAUUGCUGACACUGAGGCACGAAAGCGUGGGGAGCGAAACGGGAUUUAGAUACCCCCGGUAGUCCACGCCGUAAACGAUGGAUGCUA